This is a long non-coding RNA of Numida meleagris (helmeted guineafowl), 853 nucleotides long. RefSeq lists it as uncharacterized. The record is from RefSeq and is a predicted model, not a curated record. NCBI's taxonomy places the organism in Eukaryota, Metazoa, Chordata, Aves, Galliformes, Numididae. The transcript has 3 exons.
AUAGGAGGCAUUACUUUCAGAGCAAGCUAUGUAUCUAUUCCUCCGGCAUGCAGCUGAGGAAGGAAUGGACCAGGGAUAGGUGGCACAUAAGGACUGCUCUGUUCUGUUGUAGCUGCACCCUAGGUGAAAUGAACAAAAUGAGCACAUUGCCUUCGGUAAGCAAUUAAACAGAUGCUGAACUUUUCAGUCGCAGAGAAACAUGCUCUGCCGUGCAACAAGGGACCUUGCAAGAAAAAUGAGAUCAUACACUCGACACUCAGAGGUAUGACAGAAGGGACAGAACUGCACACCACUGUUUCCCUAAGGAAUCAAAGACACUGUAGGGAAUGCAGGGAGCACGAACCAAGUGUGGCAUUCUGGAACUAGGGAUCGCUAUGGCCUGAAUGGGAUGGCAGUAAAUAACGCCGGCAGGACUUGUUUCUGCUCCCACAACUCACAGUGAAGGAUAAAUUAGAGAUGAUGCACAGCAAGUUCUGGUAUCCCUUUGUCAAACACCAUCUGAGUUGGAGCUGCAAUGUGCUGUUGACAGGGUGUCUUCUGUGCGGUUCCUGUUUGCAUGUAUGCCAUACUCACAUGUUAGAAUGUCCCUUUGUACACAGGAAAAGAUACUGUAAGAGGCACUGCAACUUUACUAAUUUAUUUGCAGAAACCAUUGAAGAUUACAUCUACUGUGAUCAAAUCCCCUUAAGUAAAAUAUAAACCGCUACUUCUCUGAAUGUAAAGCCUAGAUCAAUAAUGGACAUGAAAUCAUCAAGUUUAAUCUCAAACAGAGUGAACCCAAGUAAUCACUCUUCUUGAUAUAAAACUAAUUCUGUUUGACAAUAAAAUACUACUAGUCCGUGCUAUAAACCAA